AAAACGUAAGCUGCACACUAAACCAAACAAAUUACAAGCACAAGUCAAAAAUUCACAAGCUAAAACUUAAACAACCAUUGCGAUGCUCGCAAUAUCAAUUUACAAUCCCCGGCAACGGCGCCAAAUUGUUAGUUGUAAUUUUAAGUGUCGGGUUUUUGUUAUCGUAUCCACAGGGAUUGUAAGAUAUCACCGCCGUUCGAUGGUUGUAUUAAUUCUAGCUCAAUGUAACAAUAGGGUUUUGGUUGGUUG
This 249-nucleotide long non-coding RNA is filed under the name Lathyrus oleraceus (garden pea). Its description in RNAcentral is "Pisum sativum (pea) long non-coding RNA (PSAT_LNC038751)". The record is from RNAcentral. Lineage: Eukaryota; Viridiplantae; Streptophyta; Magnoliopsida; Fabales; Fabaceae.